Molecule: ribosomal RNA, 381 nt
Filed under: uncultured bacterium
Lineage: Bacteria
Description: bacterial SSU rRNA
Rfam family: Bacterial small subunit ribosomal RNA
Source: RNAcentral
AUUGAACGCUGGCGGCAUGCCUUACACAUGCAAGUCGAACGGCAGCGCGGAGCAACCUGGCGGCGAGUGGCGAACGGGUGAGUAAUAUAUCGGAACGUGCCCUGGAGUGGGGGAUAACGUAGCGAAAGUUACGCUAAUACCGCAUACGAUCCAAGGAUGAAAGCAGGGGACCUUCGGGCCUUGUGCUCCUGGAGCGGCCGAUAUCUGAUUAGCUAGUUGGUGGGGUAAAAGCCUACCAAGGCGACGAUCAGUAGCUGGUCUGAGAGGACGACCAGCCACACUGGAACUGAGACACGGUCCAGACUCCUACGGGAGGCAGCAGUGGGGAAUUUUGGACAAUGGGCGCAAGCCUGAUCCAGCCAAUGCCGCGUGCGGGAAGAA